UAACACAAGAAGGAAUUUGAAAAGAGUAACACAAGAAGAAGGUAUUGAAAAGAGUUACACAGAAGAAGGUAUUGAAAAGAGUAACACAGAAGAAGGUAUUGAAAAGAGUUACACAGAAGAAGGUAUUGAAAAGAGUAACACAGAAGAAGGUAUUGAAAAGAGUAACACAGAAGAAGGUAUUGAAAAGAGUAACACAGAAGAAGGUAUUGAAAAGAGUUACACAGAAGAAGGUAUUGAAAAGAGUAACACAGAAGAAGGUAUUGAAAAGAGUUACACAGAAGAAGGUAUUGAAAAGAGUAACACAGAAGAAGGUAUUGAAAAGAGUUACACAGAAGAAGGUAUUGAAAAGAGUUACACAGAAGAAGGUAUUGAAAAGAGUUACACAGAAGAAGGUAUUGAAAAGAGUUACACAGAAGAAGGUAUUGAAAAGAGUUACACAGAAGAAGGUAUUGAAAAGAGUUACACAGAAGAAGGUAUUGAAAAGAGUAACACAGAAGAAGGUAUUGAAAAGAGUUACACAGAAGAAGGUAUUGAAAAGAGUUACACAGAAGAAGGUAUUGAAAAGAGUAACACAGAAGAAGGUAUUGAAAAGAGUUACACAGAAGAAGGUAUUGAAAAGAGUUACACAGAAGAAGGUAUUGAAAAGAGUAACACAGAAGAAGGUAUUGAAAAGAGUUACACAGAAGAAGGAAUUUGAAAAGAGUAACACAAGAAGAAGGAAUUUGAAGAUAAAUAACACAAGAAGAAGAAAUGUGAAGUAACACCGGAAGGAAAAUGCAGAGAAGUAACACUAGAAAAAUGAAAAUGGAAAUGAAAAGAAUCAUCCACCUUUCGGCCCAAACCAACAUCACAAAAUUAUGGGCGAGUCUCUUCUGGGAGGAAAGCGGCUCGUUCAGACCCAGGAACACCAGAAAGGAUGAUAGAAACAUCAAGAAAAGGAAAA
Eriocheir sinensis (Chinese mitten crab) is the source of this 943-nucleotide long non-coding RNA. RefSeq lists it as uncharacterized. The transcript is spliced from 5 exons. NCBI's taxonomy places the organism in Eukaryota, Metazoa, Arthropoda, Malacostraca, Decapoda, Varunidae. The record is from RefSeq and is a predicted model, not a curated record.